AUUAGAUUUUAAACUUUCACGAUGAUUAGAUAUCGCGUUUGUAAUUCUAGCGAGUAGCGUUAUCAAUGCUUUGUACUUUGUUCCAUCGUUUUGUGAAUAUUCCAGGUCGCUUCGAGACUCGAAAAAACACGGGUGUACCGUCCAUGCGAUCGUAAAAGUUUAAGAUCUAAAAACUAUUCUGAAUUCUAAGACCAAAGGUGAAUGUGACUUCUCGUGUUCUUCCUUUUCGCGUAGUUUUCGUCUAAAAACGUUGGAAAGCGUAAACGCGUAAGCAUUGAAAGUUUCAGCCAGUUUUUAUAGUUAGGAAACACAAGGCGCGUGCUACUGGCUCGUCGAUGAGAAAUUGACAAGAGCAACGGUAUCUCGGAGGAUGUUCUUUCUACCCUUUUGCCGAUAAUACCGAUGUUUUAUAGGUUCGUGAGCCGUUAACACAGAGAGGGGAACGCGCUGGAUUUGUAACACUUUCUACCGCGGCAAGAACACCGAUAGCUUUUAUCUUUCGCGCCCGCAAACAUUCAGGCCAGUGUCUUUAUCUAACGUGAUCCCGUGGAUACGCGAGCCGAUAAGACUUGUGCACGGAAUAAACGAAUCGAGUGGUGGCUUUGAUCGACCUGCAGGAUAUAACCCGGAUACAACGUCUCCCGUGCACGGCAAGAAAUUGAUGUUCCAAGGCUGCCUGUCUUACCUCCCCUGUUAUCAAUCCCGGAUCAACGACAAGAGCAGCGCAUAAAGAAAAGCUAGUUCCAUUAAGAAAUAGUUUCUUUCUUACGUAACAGGCAUCAGGGAUAUCGAUCUUCUAUACACGAAAUUUGUAUCGGCGCAUAUGGAAGAUGUUAAGUUUUAGAGAUUGUUAGGUUAAGUUUUAAGUAAAAGUUGAAAUACACGUGGUUUCCUUCAAGCAACUAAGAGAAACGAGUCUCGACGUUUCAUAUUCUCCAUCCACCUUCGUUCACGAAUGUGACCAAAUUUCAUAUUCCUAAUAAUAGCGUUGUAUCGUGGACAAAAGGCCUAAGAGAUAUCGGGUGAACCAUAAACAGUGUCGCGAGAAAGCCGAGGUGCCUACAGGCCCAUCAAUGUGUCGUCGGUCCUUCGUGACCCUGGCCACGAGCGGUUGCGAAACACGUGCGUGGUGAAGCUAAGACAAAAGACAAAGGGAUGCUAAGGGACAUAGACGAAUUAAGAGCCAGUGUCAGUGGCGAAGCCGGAGAGUGUUAGUUGAAAAGUUAGAGAGUGCGAAUUGCGUUGUCGAGAGAGUGUGAUCCGCGUGAGAGAGAGCGUUGGAUGCGUGGUGACGAGAGUUGCGAAUUAAUUAUCUAGUCGUCCUAAUUAUAGCACGUUGUUGUAUUUAGUUCGCGUUAAACAACCAUCGUUUCCUGUUUAAUCAACAUCUGUACAAUCCAUUAUUAUUAAUAAACUAAUUGUAGUAUAAGAUGUUGAGGAAAUAUUAGGUUGGUAUGAUCACUAGUUCCUACAUGCUAAGUUGGUACGACUUCUAACGACGCUCCUUUGUCUUUGGCGUCGGCCACGUGUUAAUUAUCUCGGUGUAUCCUGUGUGUUUAUAUGGCUGUACAUGGUGGUGAAAUACAGAACGUAAAAAUUGAAUCUGUGUGAAUCAAUAAAUAUCAAACUCCAAAACCUAUUUAAUAACCUAAGAUCCUGCAAUAGAUUUUGUAUUUUCUCGAAAUGACAAUUUCUUGUUAUUCGUGUCAUAGCAACAUCGAACGACUGUAUUUCGGGAUCAACGUACACGCAGUGUAUCUUGCGAAUCUGGUGAUAUUGUUCGUAACGCUAUGUGUGUUACGGGUACGCUCGACGCGACACGCGUUUCAUUGAAAAUCAAACGGACGAUUUUCGCGAUAUCUGUGAACGCAUGCGUGUUAUUUUAAUUGAAUGACCUGUGUGCCGAGAUCAAUAUAAGCGAAGUUAUUACGAUUGAUGAAACAACGGGACCGGUUGAAGAUUCAACAAGCGCGACGAUGAUCGAGAACAGGCGUGAACGAUAGAUCCGAAAGAGUAAACGACACGAAAGGAGAACUCGAGAGAUACAGUGGCUCGCGAAAGUGUCUCAACUCUUGUAGAAACUCUCUAUGAAUUAUAGACGCGUUAUGAAAGAUUCUGAAAUUUCCCUGACACUCUAACAAAAUUAUGACCGUAUUGGUGAAGUUUCAAAGGAAUCUGAAAGUGAAUAUAAAAGUUGCUUCGCAGAGAUCACCGAAAUAUCGUAUUUGAGACGGUCAAUUUUAUUCGUUACAUUGUUUCCAGGUACAUUUUCAGACUGGCUUCGACGUAAUCGUGACGCUCGUGUUUCGUUGCAGUGAUAACGAAAUUCCCAAAUGAUCCGCAUAAUACACGCAACAUAAGCGUAAUAUAUGGUACAUUCUAAUACGUAAAUAUAUAAUUCUUUUUAUAUAAUAAACACAAUAUAUAUCAUUUCCAAAUUGAGACAUUCUGCAGACAAUGCGAAAUAGUCUCGUUGCAAUGAAAUUUGCCAAUGAAAUUUACCAAUGAAAUUUCGAAAUGUUAUAUACGAUACACAUAAUGUACGUAACAUCGUUACACGUGAUAUACGAUACGUUUCAAUUGUAAUACGCGUUAUAUAAUACGAGUUAUAAAUUGACCAAUAUUAUCACGAUAAUGGCGUCUCGUUAGGCUGCUAAUCAAAUUUCAUAAAGGUUUCGUACAACGCGUAAAAUUUGCCUCUGGCAAGCGUUGAAAUACUUUCCUGAGCCGCUGUAAACGACCAAGAAAAGGAUUAGUCAGUCGGCGCUAGAACACGGAGAUACGAAGCCGAAGAAGUGUCAGGGACGCCGAUCGGAGAACCACGCUCCUUUCGAAUUCACUGUUCUCGCGAUACGACCGAUCGAUCGAACGAAGCUCGCUGAGCCUGGAGACCUAAAUCUCGGUGAAAAUCCACCCUUACAUUCAGUCGCUCUUUCUUCGCUCUUUCUUUUCCUUUCGUUGCGCCUGUUCUUCUCGCAAUCUCCAGGAUUUCCUACGCUUAUCGGUGAUUCAUUGCGUUGCACGCGAUCGCGGCAUGGCCACGCGAGAUCGACGAAUAAAUACCGAGCAUAAAUGUCGCGGUAGAAGCGAUUUCUUUCGUCCCACGAAUUGUAUUCCCUUCGGACUUUGCCAUAGUUUUCAUGCAAAUAGCGAAAUCCUCGAACUUAUUCCUAAAGUCGUAUCGAGCGGAAUUCUGACCCGAAGACAAAUUCCAGCGCGCGAUAGCACAGAGUUAGGAGAUUUUCCGGGGAGUAGGCGCAUCGGCAACAACUCGGAGGAAUCUCGCUGGCGUGGAAUAAAAUUAACGUCCGGCUGCAACAAUUUUACGGGGGCAUUUUACACGAACGAAAUUUACGUAUCGCUAUCGUUCUCAAGUAUUUGAACAUCUGCACGAUGUUUCUCUACCGUUGAUCCUCUAGCUCUUGCCGUAACCGAGAUAAAAUAUUACACUAUCGCUAAGUUGAAACUGGAACGAGAAAUACGCCUGGAUCCUUUCACGAAAAUACCAACGUCGAACAAACACGUUUAACGCCGCUUGAUACAAACACCAGCGAUUUCUAUCUGCCCCCAAUUACUCUUUCUCUUGGGAAUAUAAAUAUCAUGUAUUUAUACCGAUCGAUAUUAACUAUGGUUUUCAUCGAUAUCUACCAACUGUGCUACACGAUUGACUGAGACGACAUCAACAUCAAAAAUAAACGAAACAGUUUCAUCCGAAUCGUAUUUGCGUCUACGAUCGUUUCAGUGAUUCCACUGGGACAGAGAUUUCGUCGUAAGGACGAGCGACGAAAGAUUGAAAUGCGUGCGAAGAAGAGCGGUGCCAGAGAAGCCAGGGAACCAGGGGAGUCCAAGGCGAAGAACAAGGACAAGUCGGCGUCGCGACUCGUUGGAGAGUCGCAACGAGACAUCCGCAGCGCUCGAAACACCGCGAUGAUUCCUAUUGCUUCCGCCUAUCUAACGAUCCAUCGGUAACCUCUGUCAGCUGUUUCUCAUCGAUGCCUGGAAUCUCAUUUACCGAACGCUUAAUAGACAAUCAGCCGGCCGAAGCGGACGGGCAAAUUGUUUCGAUCGACUGCCACUUCCGGCGGCAUUCGACGCUGUCGAAGAUUGCCUCGUUGACGCUUCGGUCAUUCGAUUAUUUUUCACCCGUUUGUAAUGGAGUUCGGCCUCGCGUCGUUGACGACGUGCGCCGCAUCGAAAAGAAGAGGAAGAAAAGAGGUCAUCGGGCUCCAGGAUCGGACGAUAUCGACGAGGAGGAAACGAAAGAACGGAGCGUUGUUGCGCACCCGACGUGAAUCGUUUCGUUGGGUGUCGCAUCCGGCUCCGUCGCCGGUGUCCGCGAAAUUAUCUAAUCGAUGACUGCCGGACAUCUGCGUUCUGUUUCUGUCUCUUUGCGAUCGUGCUGCGUUGAUCGAGUUCGCUGUUUUCACGUAUACUCGUCGUAAGAGAAACCAUUGCCAUUUCUUCGUGACGACUAUACUCUUAAACUUGCUGUUUAAAUUGCAAUUUAGUAAUUGCAUUAAUAACAUUGGGAAAUAAAACGAUCGUUUCAUUACAAA
Molecule: long non-coding RNA, 4556 nt
Organism: Bombus pyrosoma
Lineage: Eukaryota; Metazoa; Arthropoda; Insecta; Hymenoptera; Apidae
Exons: 3
Source: RefSeq, a predicted model, not a curated record